GGCUUCAGAGGCAGGCGAGUAUCAGGCCCUGGAAGGCAGCCGGGGUGACCUAGGUCUCCUUUGCUGGGUUUCUAACGGCUCCUCUGAGAACCGGCGCUGGAGGAGAGUGAGGAAAGCAGCCGGUUGCCGGACUGAGUCCUCGCAGAGCAACUUGGACGGCCUUUUCCUGUGAUUUAACAGUCUUGGUUGACUCUGAAAGGGGAACGUAGUGCAGCUGGCCCAUAAAACUGCCGCACUUCAGGGUUUGGAAAAAACCCUCUUCAGAGAGAGUCAGAACGCCGGAGGGGUGACCGGGGCCAGAGCUCACGGCUGGCUGGGGAAAGCAGCUGUCCCCAGGGUGGCCGGGUCAGCGAGCGAGACAUCAACCCCGGCAGAGCUGCGGCAUCACAAGUGCGUGGGCGCAUGCGCUGUGGUCCUCACGCAGACAGGCUCGCUUCCAUUUCCUGGGUGGCCUGAGACCUGGCCGUCCACCCGGGGCGAUCCUUGCGUCUCUUGGCUAGGAAGCAGAGGAGGACGUGCUGGGAGAUGGGGCCAUGCGGGACGCAUGCUUUGUCACAGCGAACUCUGUUCUAACAGACCCCACGAGCAGAGGAGAAAAAUAGAGGCAAAGGAACCUGCCCCAGGACCACACAGCUAGGAAGAGGUUAGCUGAGAGAUUGGGAGUCAGGGUGGAUUUCUCUGAAAUGGUAAUAACAGAAAGGAGGAAGUCUGUUCCACAAGAAGAGAAAUACGAAAGCAAAGGUCUGGGGUGAGAAAAGUCAUGGUGAACUCACAACCCUUGGAGGGAAGUCAGUGCUGUCAUGGGAACGAGGGAUUUGAACUAGGGAGUUCUGGGUUAUUGGAAAAGGAAACAGAAGAGCUGAAGUGGGAAGGUGGAAAAGUUAAUGACAUGAUGACCCAGACUGUACCCAGGACUUGAGCUACCACAAUUCCGAGAAUUGACGGCAAAGAAAUGGGAACAAAUGCGCCCCGGAACUGAAGAUUAACUGUACCUAAAACAACCAAGAUGAUGCUAGUCAGACUACUGAUGAUAAUUGGAAGAUGAGUGUACUGUUUCUGCAUGUAACUCCCCACACACACACUUUGUCUAUAAAAACUCUCACCCCCUGCUUGUCAGGAGGGGAGGGGAGUCGGCCUUUGAACAGAUGUACAUCACCCUCCUCCCCAGUUGCCGGCAUCUGAA
Molecule: long non-coding RNA, 1183 nt
Organism: Bos taurus (domestic cattle)
Lineage: Eukaryota; Metazoa; Chordata; Mammalia; Artiodactyla; Bovidae
Source: Ensembl